AUGAUGGAGCAACCAAACCAAUGGCUUACGCAGACGGAACAGGAGGAGCUAGCUUACAUGUACCAGGAAGAAGGGGGUCCAGUACCUGUACCCGGUAGGGGGCAGCAGUUUGCAGAGCCACCGCUACCUGGCCGUGAAGCGCAGUGCUACACGCCGCCGAUGGCAAUCCCGACGUUCAAUCCAUCUCGCAGCUCCAAUUUCCCGAGCUUUGGGGGCUCGUCGUCAUUGCCGAGCUUACCAUUCGGAUCGGCAAUGGUGAAGAACGAGCUGGGGCAACCGUCUCCGCCGCCAUCAUCCAACUUCCUCUCCGUCGGAGCUGGCCAGGCUAGCACCCUGAGCUUCUCCGGCUGGCAGAGCAAUGGAGUCCAAGGGAUGAUGCAGCAGCUGCAGGCGCCGGAGAGGUUGGGCAGGGCGCCGCAAGAGCACGUCAUCGCCGAGCGCAAGCGGCGGGAGAAGCUGCAGCAGCAGUUCGUGUCCUUGGCCACCAUCGUCCCCGGACUCAAAAAGACUGACAAGCUCUCUCUACUGGGGAGUACCAUCGACUACGUGAAGCAGCUGGAGGAGAAGGUGCAGGCCCUAGAGCAAGGCUCACGGAGGUCGUCAGAGUCCAUGGUGUUCGAUAGCAAAUGCAACAUAUCCCUCCCGACAACGAUGCAGCAGGCCCCAGCGGGAGCGGCUCCAGGUCCGGGUACUCGAGCCCAGACAUUGAGGCCAGCAUCCGAGGGAACACGGCACUACUGA
RNAcentral lists this ribosomal RNA (741 nucleotides) under Triticum aestivum (bread wheat). Its description in RNAcentral is "partial small subunit ribosomal RNA". Lineage: Eukaryota; Viridiplantae; Streptophyta; Magnoliopsida; Poales; Poaceae. The record is from RNAcentral.